RNAcentral lists this ribosomal RNA (499 nucleotides) under uncultured bacterium. RNAcentral describes it as "partial 16S ribosomal RNA". It matches the Rfam family "Bacterial small subunit ribosomal RNA", at positions 30 to 523 of the family's 1533-position model. The record is from RNAcentral.
AUUGAACGCUGGCGGCAUGCCUUACACAUGCAAGUCGAACGGCAGCACGGGGGCAACCCUGGUGGCGAGUGGCGAACGGGUGAGUAAUACAUCGGAACGUGCCCAGUCGUGGGGGAUAACGUAGCGAAAGUUACGCUAAUACCGCAUACGAUCUCUGGAUGAAAGCGGGGGACCGCAAGGCCUCGCGCGAUUGGAGCGGCCGAUGGCAGAUAGGUAGUUGGUGGGGUAAAAGCUUACCAAGCCUCCGAUCUGUAGCUGGUCUGAGAGGACGAUCAGCCACACUGGGACUGAGACACGGCCAAUACUCCUACGGGAGGCUGCAGUGGGGAAUUUUGGCCAAUGGGCGAAAGCCUGAUCCAGCAAUGCCGCGUGCAGGACGAAGGCCUUCGGGUUGUGAACUGCUUUUGUACGGAGCGAGACGGCUUCCACUAAUACUGGGGGCUAAUGACGGUACCGUAAGAAUAAGCACCGGCUAACUACGUGCCAGCCGCCGCCGUAA